CACGUAGUUAGCCGGUGCUUAUUCUGCAGGUACCGUCAGUUUCACGGGGUAUUAGCCCAUGACGUUUCUUUCCUGCCAAAAGUGCUUUACAACCCGAAGGCCUUCAUCGCACACGCGGGAUGGCUGGAUCAGGGUUUCCCCCAUUGUCCAAAAUUCCCCACUGCUGCCUCCCGUAGGAGUCUGGGCCGUGUCUCAGUCCCAGUGUGGCUGGUCGUCCUCUCAAACCAGCUACGGAUCGUCGCCUUGGUGAGCCGUUACCCCACCAACUAGCUAAUCCGAUAUCGGCCGCUCUAAUAGUGCAAGGUCUUGCGAUCCCCUGCUUUCCCCCGUAGGGCGUAUGCGGUAUUAGCUACGCUUUCGCGUAGUUAUCCCCCGCUACUAGGCACGUUCCGAUACAUUACUCACCCGUUCGCCACUCGCCACCAGACCGAAGUCCGUGCUGCCGUUCGACUUGCAUGUGUAAGGCAUCCCGCUAGCGUUCAAUCUGAGCCAGGAUCAAACUAC
RNAcentral lists this ribosomal RNA (504 nucleotides) under uncultured Achromobacter sp. RNAcentral describes it as "partial 16S ribosomal RNA". Lineage: Bacteria; Pseudomonadati; Pseudomonadota; Betaproteobacteria; Burkholderiales; Alcaligenaceae. The record is from RNAcentral.